CUGUAACAUCUGAUGACACUGAAAAGAUGACGACUGAACAAAUCCAGAGUCGGGGGACAGCAGGCAGCCAGAACCAGACCAAUCCAGUUCGUGAUAACCUGAACAGGAACACAAAGGAUUUUGGUAGUGAACUGUCUGCUGAUAAAUCUGUAACAUCUGAUGACACUGAAAAG
Nematolebias whitei (Rio pearlfish) is the source of this 173-nucleotide long non-coding RNA. RefSeq lists it as uncharacterized. The record is from RefSeq and is a predicted model, not a curated record. NCBI's taxonomy places the organism in Eukaryota, Metazoa, Chordata, Actinopteri, Cyprinodontiformes, Rivulidae. The transcript has 3 exons.